This 568-nucleotide ribosomal RNA is filed under the name Curvibasidium cygneicollum. Its description in RNAcentral is "eukaryotic LSU rRNA". It matches the Rfam family "Eukaryotic large subunit ribosomal RNA", at positions 67 to 633 of the family's 3401-position model. Lineage: Eukaryota; Fungi; Basidiomycota; Microbotryomycetes. The record is from RNAcentral.
AACAAGGAUUCCCCUAGUAACGGCGAGUGAAGCGGGAAGAGCUCAAAUUUGUAAUCUGGCACUUUCAGUGUCCGAGUUGUAAUCUCGAGAAGUGUUUUCCGCGCCGGACUGCAUACAAGUCUGUUGGAAUACAGCGUCAUAGUGGUGAGAACCCCGUAACUGAUGCAGAUGCCCGGGUGCUUUGUGAUACACUUUCGAAGAGUCGAGUUGUUUGGGAAUGCAGCUCAAAUUGGGUGGUAAAUUCCAUCUAAAGCUAAAUAUUGGCGAGAGACCGAUAGCGAACAAGUACCGUGAGGGAAAGAUGAAAAGCACUUUGGAAAGAGAGUUAACAGUACGUGAAAUUGUUGGAAGGGAAACGAUUGAAGUCAGACUUGUUAUCUGGAGUUCAGCCUUUCGGUGUACUCUCCAGUUUACAGGCCAGCAUCAGUUUUCGGGGCGGGAAAAUCGUAAUUUGAAGGUAGCAGCCUAGCUGUGUUAUAGCUUUUUACUGGAUUCCGCUUUGGGGACUGAGGAACGCAGUGUGCUUUUAGCAAUACCCUCGGGUAUUUCACACUAGGAUGCGGGAAGG